RNAcentral lists this long non-coding RNA (734 nucleotides) under Nicotiana tabacum (common tobacco). RNAcentral describes it as "long non-coding RNA (NTAB_LNC013818)". Lineage: Eukaryota; Viridiplantae; Streptophyta; Magnoliopsida; Solanales; Solanaceae. The record is from RNAcentral.
CGUCCCAUGCCAAUCCCCAUUUCUCUAAACAUCAAACCAGCAAAAAAUAUUUAAUGUCUCAUUGUUCAAUGUUAGUGAAGCAGAUGGAAUCACUAAGAAAAAAGGACGAGACUGGAUCUGACUGUCCUCGCAUGCCUGCAGUUUCUGAAUCUGCAAAUCAAUAUAUGACAAUAUUCAAUCAAAUGGCAAAAUUUACAAAUAUAAAUCCUAGUAAAAAACAUAUAACAGCAAGUCAUUACCAAUAUCAAAAACAUUAUUCAAUUUUAAUCACCGAAUGUUUAAGACGAGAAAAGCACCAGACAAAAGUAUCAGUGAAUUGGAAUUACUUGCAAUUUACAACAGAUGCUCUGUAUUAUCUUUCCAACAGUGCCACUUUGCUGAAAUUACUUAAAUAGCUCAAAAUUUUCCAAAAGUCAGAGGUCCAAAAUUAUUCUUCUGUUAUGUACAAAAAUGACCGGACCUUUUUAAUCUUUAUUGUUGGUGUUGAAAUUUUGAAUUAUGGCCAAAACUAACUUUUAAAAGAAAUUGCAUCAGUCACUUUUCUUCCUUUUUUCUGGUUGGGGAUUCUUGUUUUUCCCAUUUUUUCCUCGGGACAGAAGAUAAACAUAAUGCAACUAUUGGACACAGCAAAUGUAUUGCACGAGGGAAAAUGAUUCUACCUGUUAUUCAUAUGCAUGUGAAAGUAUCAAAUUAGUUCAGCCUCUUCUUUGCCAUAGUCAUACACUAUCUCAAUC